UACAUUUACAAACUAGAUAAAGUUAGUUACAAUAAGUAUCAUCCCUAUACGUCAUGGAUCCCAAUCACUGUUUAUAUUUGCUUGCGAAAUGCAACCCAGCAGUUGCGAAAUUAUUCCUUGACUCUUUUUGCGUGGCUUGGCAAGAUCACGCUUGAGACAUAUAUCUCUCAGAUCCAUAUUUGGCUUCGGUGAGAAUGGAGUUUGACAUUUAUAAAAUGUUUUUUUUUUCUUUUUAUCUAAUUCUAAUCAAAUAGCUUCUUUAACUAACGUGUUUUCUCUAAUAAAA
Molecule: long non-coding RNA, 286 nt
Organism: Dendrobium catenatum
Lineage: Eukaryota; Viridiplantae; Streptophyta; Magnoliopsida; Asparagales; Orchidaceae
Exons: 3
Source: RefSeq, a predicted model, not a curated record